UUAGUACUGCGAGUGAAGCGGCAAAAGCUCAAAUUUGAAAUCUGGUACCAUUCGGUGCUCGAAUUGUAAUUUGGAGAGGCAACUUCGGAGAGGGCGUUGGCCUAAGUUCCUUGGAACAGGACGUCAUAGAGGGUGAGAAUCCCGUGCUUGGCUGACUGUCCCUCUUCAUGUGAAGUGUCUUCGACGAGUCGAGUUGUUUGGGAAUGCAGCUCAAAAUGGGUGGUAAACUCCAUCUAAGGCUAAAUAUUGGCGAGAGACCGAUAGCGCACAAGUAGAGUGAUCGAAAGAUGAAAAGCACUUUGAAAAGAGAGUUAAAAAGUACGUGAAAUUGUUGAAAGGGAAGCGCUUGAGACCAGACUCGGUGAUAGGUGAUCAGCGGUUGCUUUUGCUCCGUGCACUUGCCUUUUACCGGGCCAGCAUCAGUUACAGCGGUGGGAUAAAGACUCAGGGAAUGUGGCUCCCUUCGGGGAGUGUUAUAGCCCUGGGUGUAAUGCCACCUGUUGUGACUGAGGACCGCGCUUCGGCUAGGAUGCUGGCAUAAUGGUCUUCAGCGACCCGUCUUGA
Molecule: ribosomal RNA, 564 nt
Filed under: Sarcosomataceae sp. RQ-BL15-1
Lineage: Eukaryota; Fungi; Ascomycota; Pezizomycetes; Pezizales; Sarcosomataceae
Description: eukaryotic LSU rRNA
Rfam family: Eukaryotic large subunit ribosomal RNA
Source: RNAcentral